GAUUGGUUGUUGUUCUUUCUCUUUACCUGAGUCUCUUGUAUUACUGCUCCUUAAGGUCACUCCUUAACUUUGCAUGCCUGUACCCUCCUGGUUUGUAUUCCCUCCCAACGGGCAGUAGGGGUUUUAAAGAAAAGUGCCUGGCAUUGGGAGAGUUGUCCCUUUGCCACACGUGGCAGGGCUUGGAGAUCCCAAGAUCACACCUGAGAUCUGUCAAAUAAAUGUAAAUAGAUUUAACACCUGGAUUCGGAAGGAUCUAAGUAGGAUGUGGGUAGAAAAACUCCGUAUUAAAACCUGAACACACAGCUACCGUUCUCAGGCAUCCUAUCUCUCCUAGGUACACAGGUCAAUAUCCUGAGGAGCCCUGUCUGCAUCAAAGCUUUCUCUGGUUGCUGUGCUUAGAUGUGGACUGAAAAGGGCCCAGCAUAUCAGUUCCCUAUAAGGGAAAUUCUGUCCCUGUCUGCCAGUUUGACUGUAGCAAUAGGGUCCAUAGGGAGACUUCCGUCACGUGUGAUUGUGGAACAGAGCAUGGCAAAGAAAGGCAUACAUAAAGGGAAAAAAAAUGGGAGGACAAGUAGAUGAAAGACAACGUGUGUUUGGGAGUAGCAGGAAAAGGGAAACCUUGACACAGUUGAUUAUUGUGCUCAUUUAAAAAAAAAAAGGGGGAAAGCUCAGAAGUUUUGGGGUUUUCAUUCCAUGCCAAAUAAACAGAGUAGGUUGCUUCAUUGUCCGCUGCCUCAAUUUUGUUUUUUUCAGCAUAGAUUCCUGGAUUUGCUUAAAGGAAUACAGCAUUUAUGUGAGAAUGCACUUUACCACAGUAUAUAUAUUUGCAAAGAUUGCAAGGCUUGCAGGUGUGUAUCCUCCAGGACAUGCUCUGAAGAGUUCAGCAGAAGAGGAGAGGAGCUGGAACCAGCCACUGGAGAAGCCCUGUAGUCCACACCCAUGCAGCCCUCAACCUGUCCUUCCCUGCAUAAUCUCUGGGGGGUCUCCCAGGCAGGAAAACUUCCCCAAGAAGCAGCACAGUGAAAGCCCUACCCAGCCACCAGCACAGUUGUACUCAUGCUUGCUGCUGCUUUCUGAUUCAAUUAAUGCUUUCAUUCAUUUAUGUGCAUGGAUUAUUUCAUCAUAGCGGAUCAGCUAAUGCAGUUGAGAUUCCUGUUCCACAUCAUUGUGUUUACUGUCAGCAGAGAGGAAAGGGAUGCUUCAAAUUCCCGCAAGUCAAGAGACUGGGGAAAUCAGCUCUGGAUCAUGUCUCUUUUGAGUUGGUGCUCAAAACCUCUGGGACAUUACAUAAACAGGCGAUGCCUCUUCCUAUUGCAUUUUCUAAGUUCCUAGCAGCAGGCUGGAGUUGGGCAUCCUGACUAGAAAAUGGCACCUCUGUCAUUCAGAAAAGGACAUCUCAUUGUCUAAGAAGGGCUUAACCUUUACCCUCCCUUUGGCACCUCCAGCAGCUGCAGAGGCAAUUUUCUAUUUGCUUUUAUGAAUCAUAUCCUGAGGUACCUUGCUUUCCCUGUCUGUUGCAUAGGAAGUUUGAAUGCUUAACUUUUCUUUUUAUAUUACAUAGGGUGAAGAAGUGCCUGAAGUCAUAAUGUGCAGCUCUCAGUAUCACAAUAGCUAAAUCCUUCUGUGGGCCAAGAUCUUUUUCCCUAACUGGUGCCCCUGUACUGACUGAGCACACUGCAACCUCAGUGGGCUGAGAGGCAGUUCAGACACUAACCUCCCACUCAGACAUCAUCCUGGUAAGCAUCAUGUCCAGCUCAAGUCCUGCCUUUUCCCAUCCUCACCACUCCAUAGCACACAUUAUUCUGGGUUUAACUCGUACUGUAUGCAAAGAAUGUGGUUGUAAAUGGAAAAAGCCAGACAGACAAGACAAAAUCUGGCAGGUUUUAGUAACACUUAGGUAAGAUGCUGACAUAUCAGAAGUAUUGGGGGGGGUGCUUGUAAGGGGAAAGGAAUCUGAAGUUCUUCCUAAAAUUAGCUAAAAUCAUUUGCUUGAGCCUGCACUCCUUGGAAAAACAAAUAACUUCCCUGGGCAUAUUUAGUAGCUAUACCUUACUCCAAACAGAUGCAAACCUGUGUAUAUGGCAAGAAAAAACAUCGUAAGAAUGGCAAGAAACACAAUGCUGAGUUUGGAAGCUGAACCAAAGUUAAGUUUAUACAAGCAGCAAGUGAAACACCCAUCCCCAGUGAGUCAGGUCCUGGCUGUUUCCUUCAUUUCCUCCAAGGCUUGCUGUGAACACCCAGCAGUAACAGUCCUUCUGAAAUUCAGUCAUCUCCUUUCCUGCCCCUUAUUUAUAGCUUGCUCUCAGCAGUUAGCAGAGUCCCAGUAUGCAGCACUGCAUUUUCACAGGCUCUUCUCCAGCACACUGAGAGAAGUGCAGGCUCUCCCAGACCUCAGCUCAGCUUUGGUAGCACAGGUCCCAUUUCCUGUUGGAUUUGUAAGUGCUAGCGCCUGUUGAGUGACAGCAGAUGCUGGAAUAAAGGAGGGGACAAAAUGGCAGAUUGCACAGUUCACCAGUGUUUUUUGGUUUUAUCUUGAAUACAGCUAUAUUGAAAGUGGUUUUAUGUUCCUCUAACUGUCCCUUUGGGUUCAGUCUCUUAGGGCAGAGGAUACAGUGGAAUAUUAAGGUGUGUCAGUGUGUAAACCGUUUCUCAGAGAUAUGAGUUUGAACCUGCUGAUUCAGGCUAAGGUGUAUCC
Long non-coding RNA from Pezoporus flaviventris, 2695 nucleotides. RefSeq lists it as uncharacterized. The transcript has 3 exons. The record is from RefSeq and is a predicted model, not a curated record. Lineage: Eukaryota; Metazoa; Chordata; Aves; Psittaciformes; Psittacidae.